This 460-nucleotide ribosomal RNA is filed under the name uncultured bacterium. RNAcentral's name for it is "partial 16S ribosomal RNA". It matches the Rfam family "Bacterial small subunit ribosomal RNA", at positions 338 to 795 of the family's 1533-position model. The record is from RNAcentral.
CCUACGGGGGGCAGCAGUGAGGAAUAUUGGUCAAUGGGCGCGAGCCUGAACCAGCCAAGUAGCGUGAAGGAUGACUGCCCUACGGGUUGUAAACUUCUUUUAUAAAGGAAUAAAGUGAGGCACGUGUGCCUUUUUGUAUGUACUUUAUGAAUAAGGAUCGGCUAACUCCGUGCCAGUAGCCGCGGUAAUACGGAGGGUCCGAGCGUUAUCCGGAUUUAUUGGGUUUAAAGGGAGCGUAGAUGGGUUGUUAAGUCAGUUGUGAAAGGUUGCGGCUCAACCGUAAAAUUGCAAUUGAUACUGGCAGCCUUGAGUACAGUUGAGGUAAGCGGAAUUUGUGGUGUAGCGGUGAAAUGCGUAGAUAUCACGAAGAACUCCGAUGGCGAAGGCAGCCUACUAAACUGCAACUGACAUUGAUGCUCGAAAGUGUGGGUAGCAAACAGGAUUAGAUACCCUAGUAGUC